This 65-nucleotide transfer RNA is filed under the name Dipodomys ordii (Ord's kangaroo rat). It matches the Rfam family "tRNA". From Rfam's summary of the family: Transfer RNA (tRNA) molecules are approximately 80 nucleotides in length. Their secondary structure includes four short double-helical elements and three loops (D, anti-codon, and T loops). Further hydrogen bonds mediate the characteristic L-shaped molecular structure. tRNAs have two regions of fundamental functional importance: the anti-codon, which is responsible for specific mRNA codon recognition, and the 3' end, to which the tRNAs corresponding amino acid is attached (by aminoacyl-tRNA synthetases). tRNAs cope with the degeneracy of the genetic code in two manners: having more than one tRNA (with a specific anti-codon) for a particular amino acid; and 'wobble' base-pairing, i.e. permitting non-standard base-pairing at the 3rd anti-codon position. Lineage: Eukaryota; Metazoa; Chordata; Mammalia; Rodentia; Heteromyidae. The record is from Rfam by way of RNAcentral.
GGUGGCUCAGUAGUAGAGUGCUUGCUUUACAUGUAUGAGGCCCUGGGUUCAAUUCCUCAGCACCA